Humulus lupulus (European hop) is the source of this 772-nucleotide long non-coding RNA. RefSeq lists it as uncharacterized. NCBI's taxonomy places the organism in Eukaryota, Viridiplantae, Streptophyta, Magnoliopsida, Rosales, Cannabaceae. The transcript has 3 exons. The record is from RefSeq and is a predicted model, not a curated record.
ACAUGUGUUGGUGUUUUAAACCUUUGAAAAAUGGCACUACUAAAUUUCUUUUUAUUUAAGUCUUUUAACUCUAAAGCUAAAAUGGUAGCUACAAAGGGGAUACCUCCCAAACACUACGAGCCUAAGACAAUUGGCAUCUAAUUAUAUUUCUGAAUGCUUUGUGCAUUUGCAUUGGUACUAUUCUAUUAUGCAAUGUCCUAUCUAAUAUUUGAAUUUGAUGAGUAUGACUUUGUUUUUCCAUGAAAUAAAGUUAGUAUUCUAUUCCCUAAUGUGCAACAAAUAAAUCAUGGUGAUUAAGUUGUGAAAUCCUCCCCCCUCAUCCUUUUUUAUAAGUGUUUUUCAUAUGAUAUUUUAAAUAUAGUAUUUUUUUUUUCUUAUCACAGUAGUGGGAUUGGAGGGAUCUCUCAAUAUUUGGCAACCUAAUUUGAUUCAAAAUGUCAAGGCAUCACCAUCACUUCAAGCUCAAAGGGUCAAUUCUCUCUCUUCUGCUCAAGGAUUGGCCACUAAGAUACCUUCUGGAGUACUAUAAGUAUAGAUUCUAAUGUUCGAGCUGCUGAUGCAGCUCUCAGAGCAUUGAAUAGGAGUGACAUAGCCGGGAAACGCAUAAAUAAUGAACCAAGCUGCCCUGGUAGAGCAUGUCAGAAUUAUUGUGUGACAGUUUGUACUUUUGGGCUCCAAAAAGAUAUCUGAUUCAGUUCAUGAAGUUUCCAAUGCUUUACUGAAGAGAUUGCUUCUUGGACAUGAACUUUGUUUUAUUUUCUUGAUUGUCUCC